GCAGAAGUGAGAACAUAAUGUCAAGCAUAUCAGUCUCUACAGGCAUUUGUAUGAGCUAUCAAAACCCAAGGCGGCCCAGAAAUGUUACAGAAACAUCAAACGCUGCUUUAAAUGCAAAACAGGUAAGUGGAAAUCAUGCGGUUCCAUUUACAUAUGAACCAUGUACUUCUUGAAGGAGUCUCUAAAGUGCUUUUUCUGCUGUGUAAAAUGUGAUGGCAGUCAGAGUCCGGCGCUCCUCGAGAGCUGAAUUUGGUUCCAUCCUGAUGUCGAGACUCACUGGUGCGUUGAUGAAAGGCGUAAAAAGCAGCCUUGAGCUGCAGGAUGGGACACAACAACAACAAUGCAACUAACCACGAGUAUCCAAAAAGCAGACUAUUCCUAACCUGAGGCGUUUAACAGCCAGGAUUUUCGACAGCUGUUUAUGCUGUGUAUAUCCCUUGUGUUCUCUAAUGGGGUCCAGAUGACCCCACUCCUAUUUUGAUAUGUGGUGCCUCCCAUGACAAAGGUGGACAGGGUUUUAUGUCUGCCACGGACACCAGUGAAGAUAAAAAAUAAGUUCAGCGCGCUGUCUUGUGGGGUCCAGAUGACCCCACUUUUACAUGAACCCAGUGAAACAGGAAAAAUCACAACUACUAUAUUCAUCACUGAAACUGCAGAUAUAUUUAUGUGAUGGGUGACACCUGGGAGGUGUGGCUCUGCCAUUAAGGCCCUUUAAAUGGGAAGGGGCGGGGCUACCCAGCAGUGCCAGAUUCUGGUGGGUGACUACUGGGCCCACGCUGAUUGUGUGGCAGACAUGAGCCAAUUUGGGCUUUGGUGUCACAAAGCAGACCUACAGGGAGAAUGACUGGGUGUGGGUGCUGGAUACCACAGGGGAAGAAAAAAAGCUUUUUAAAGGAUGUUAAAAUAAGUGAAAACUGUCAAGAGCACAACCUCAGUAUCGGUUCCAUGAAAGCCUCCAAUCUGCAGUCCAACUGGGACGGAUAUAAAGACUGGAUAAAUACCACAUGAAGAGAAGCUUUUAAGUCAUUUCCACAACUGCAAUCGUACACUGUAAGUAAUAUUUAUCCCCAACAGCAAUUAUUGA
Long non-coding RNA from Oryzias melastigma (Indian medaka), 1084 nucleotides. RefSeq lists it as uncharacterized. The transcript is spliced from 4 exons. The record is from RefSeq and is a predicted model, not a curated record. NCBI's taxonomy places the organism in Eukaryota, Metazoa, Chordata, Actinopteri, Beloniformes, Adrianichthyidae.